This 300-nucleotide ribosomal RNA is filed under the name uncultured Prevotella sp. RNAcentral describes it as "bacterial SSU rRNA". It matches the Rfam family "Bacterial small subunit ribosomal RNA", at positions 354 to 650 of the family's 1533-position model. Lineage: Bacteria; Pseudomonadati; Bacteroidota; Bacteroidia; Bacteroidales; Prevotellaceae. The record is from RNAcentral.
UGAGGGAAUAUUGGGUCAAUGGACGCAAGUCUGAACCAGCCAAGUAGCGUGCAGGAUGACGGCCCUAUGGGUUGUAAACUGCUUUUAUGCGGGGAUAAAGUGAGGGACGUGUCCCUUUUUGUAGGUACCGCAUGAAUAAGGACCGGCUAAUUCCGUGCCAGCAGCCGCGGUAAUACGGAAGGUCCGGGCGUUAUCCGGAUUUAUUGGGUUUAAAGGGAGCGUAGGCCGGAGAUUAAGCGUGUUGUGAAAUGUAGACGCUCAACGUCUGCACUGCAGCGCGAACUGGUUUCCUUGAGUACG